RNAcentral lists this ribosomal RNA (465 nucleotides) under Vreelandella stevensii. RNAcentral's name for it is "partial 16S ribosomal RNA". It matches the Rfam family "Bacterial small subunit ribosomal RNA", at positions 338 to 795 of the family's 1533-position model. Lineage: Bacteria; Pseudomonadati; Pseudomonadota; Gammaproteobacteria; Oceanospirillales; Halomonadaceae. The record is from RNAcentral.
CCUACGGGUGGCUGCAGUGGGGAAUAUUGGACAAUGGGGGCAACCCUGAUCCAGCCAUGCCGCGUGUGUGAAGAAGGCCCUCGGGUUGUAAAGCACUUUCAGUGAGGAAGAACGCCUGGUGGUUAAUACCCAUCAGGAAAGACAUCACUCACAGAAGAAGCACCGGCUAACUCCGUGCCAGCAGCCGCGGUAAUACGGAGGGUGCGAGCGUUAAUCGGAAUUACUGGGCGUAAAGCGCGCGUAGGUGGCUUGAUAAGCCGGUUGUGAAAGCCCCGGGCUCAACCUGGGAACGGCAUCCGGAACUGUCAAGCUAGAGUGCAGGAGAGGAAGGUAGAAUUCCCGGUGUAGCGGUGAAAUGCGUAGAGAUCGGGAGGAAUACCAGUGGCGAAGGAGGCCUUCUGGACUGACACUGACACUGAGGUGCGAAAGCGUGGGUAGCAAACAGGAUUAGAUACCCUAGUAGUC